RNAcentral lists this ribosomal RNA (472 nucleotides) under uncultured bacterium. Its description in RNAcentral is "bacterial SSU rRNA". It matches the Rfam family "Bacterial small subunit ribosomal RNA", at positions 355 to 825 of the family's 1533-position model. The record is from RNAcentral.
UGGGGAAUUUUGGACAAUGGGCGCAAGCCUGAUCCAGCCAUACCGCGUGAGUGAAGAAGGCCUUCGGGUUGUAAAGCUCUUUCAGACGGAAAGAAACGGUCGCGGCCAAUACCCGCGACUAAUGACGGUACCGUAAGAAGAAGCACCGGCUAACUACGUGCCAGCAGCCGCGGUAAUACGUAGGGUGCGAGCGUUAAUCGGAAUUACUGGGCGUAAAGUGUGCGCAGGCGGUUUGGUAAGACAGAUGUGAAAUCCCCGGGCUUAACCUGGGAACUGCAUUUGUGACUGCCAGACUAGAGUGUAGCAGAGGGGGGUAGAAUUCCACGUGUAGCAGUGAAAUGCGUAGAUAUGUGGAGGAAUACCGAUGGCGAAGGCAGCCCCCUGGGCUAACACUGACGCUCAUGCACGAAAGCGUGGGGAGCAAACAGGAUUAGAUACCCACGUAGUCCCUGAGCGGGCUGGCAAGGCGCAU